UCCCUGCUAGGUGCGUGAUGUCUGGUAUGUUUUUGACCAACACCUUUCAUAGGGGAACCCGGACUCUGCUGUUGGAUUUGAUGCCGCUUAUGUUUAGGCGGAACGCUGAGGACAGUGGGAGGGAUCCCACCUGCACAUGCAGGUUCAAAACGCUGGGCAUUAACGGCUGUGUGGGGUUU
Molecule: non-coding RNA, 179 nt
Filed under: human gut metagenome
Description: 6S / SsrS RNA
Rfam family: 6S / SsrS RNA
About the family: E. coli 6S RNA was the first non coding RNA to be sequenced, but its function was unknown until recently. It consists of 184 nucleotides that fold into an extended hairpin structure with a large single-stranded internal bulge.
Source: RNAcentral